This 88-nucleotide ribosomal RNA is filed under the name Vibrio splendidus. RNAcentral's name for it is "partial 16S ribosomal RNA". It matches the Rfam family "Bacterial small subunit ribosomal RNA", at positions 1 to 84 of the family's 1533-position model. The record is from RNAcentral. Lineage: Bacteria; Pseudomonadati; Pseudomonadota; Gammaproteobacteria; Vibrionales; Vibrionaceae. RNAcentral also lists the same sequence under 1 other name.
UUAAAUUGAAGAGUUUGAUCAUGGCUCAGAUUGAACGCUGGCGGCAGGCCUAACACAUGCAAGUCGAGCGGAAACGACACUAACAAUC